Cinara cedri is the source of this 779-nucleotide non-coding RNA. The record is from the annotation of a GenBank genome assembly. Lineage: Eukaryota; Metazoa; Arthropoda; Insecta; Hemiptera; Aphididae.
GGAAGUUUCACAAAAUUUUAAUUGAAAUCUACAGAAAUUCAAUUGUUAUUAUUCAUUAUAUAUUAAUAAUGUAUUGAAAUUGUGUACUAUAUAUUUUGCUUUUGACGAAAGAGGCGACAUUAUAUUUGCCAAAGGGCGGAACUUUUCUCACGACGGGCCUGAUUAUAAUAACAAUAAUAAUAAUAUCAAUACAUUAAUAUUAUAAUAAAAAAAUACGCGUCAACCGUUCAAGUAAACCGCAAUAUUUCAAUAGUGUUAAUAUCGAACCGUCAAAAUACGGAAAUGGAACAGUUCCAAAAUGUUUAGUCGCCGUGUACGCACAAUGUGCACUUUGUGAACGUAUGAAAUAAUGUAUCGUCGAAAAGCGUAAAACUGCGGAGGCGAAUUCCCGUCGGGCACUGCAGAGGAUUUGUUGUAAUUGGUUCCGGUUUAUAUAUUGUAUAAAUCUGACAUAUUACAAAAUAAAAAAAAAUAAAAAAAUAAUAUAGGUAAUGUUAUACAACGAGUAGGUAAUGUUGGUAUUAUACAUAGAAAAAAAAAAAAAAAAAAAAAACGGUUGAAUUAUUCGUUUUAUCCGGAUACGGUCACGACCCGCGUCCCAAUCGCGACUUUCGUAAUGAGCUGUUAGACCCGAGAAAUAUUAUAUCCGUAUUUGCAACCGUUUAAAACCCAAUAAAUAUGCGACCUCUAAGGUCACCUAAUUUCAAUAACCGUGACAAUAAUUUUACAAGAUGAUAUUAUAUAAUAAUAUUUACGCACGUGCAAUAUUAUCGUGAAGG